ACCUUUGGCGGGGAUGCUUUACAAUGCAGUCGGACGGCAGCACGGGCUUCGGCCUGGUGGCGAGUGGCGAACGGGUGAGUAAUGUAUCGGAACGUGCCCAGUAGCGGGGGAUAACUACGCGAAAGCGUGGCUAAUACCGCAUACGCCCUACGGGGGAAAGCGGGGGACCUUCGGGCCUCGCACUAUUGGAGCGGCCGAUAUCGGAUUAGCUAGUUGGUGGGGUAACGGCCUACCAAGGCGACGAUCCGUAGCUGGUUUGAGAGGACGACCAGCCACACUGGGACUGAGACACGGCCCAGACUCCUACGGGAGGCAGCAGUGGGGAAUUUUGGACAAUGGGGGCAACCCUGAUCCAGCCAUCCCGCGUGUGCGAUGAAGGCCUUCGGGUUGUAAAGCACUUUUGGCAGGAAAGAAACGGCACGGGCUAAUAUCCUGUGCAACUGACGGUACCUGCAGAAUAAGCACCGGCUAACUACGUGCCAGCAGCCGCGGUAAUACGUAGGGUGCAAGCGUUAAUCGGAAUUACUGGGCGUAAAGCGUGCGCAGGCGGUUCGGAAAGAAAGAUGUGAAAUCCCAGGGCUUAACCUUGGAACUGCAUUUUUAACUACCGGGCUAGAGUGUGUCAGAGGGAGGUGGAAUUCCGCGUGUAGCAGUGAAAUGCGUAGAUAUGCGGAGGAACACCGAUGGCGAAGGCAGCCUCCUGGGAUAACACUGACGCUCAUGCACGAAAGCGUGGGGAGCAAACAGGAUUAGAUACCCUGGUAGUCCACGCCCUAAACGAUGUCAACUAGCUGUUGGGGCCUUCGGGCCUUGGUAGCGCAGCUAACGCGUGAAGUUGACCGCCUGGGGAGUACGGUCGCAAGAUUAAAACUCAAAGGAAUUGACGGGGACCCGCACAAGCGGUGGAUGAUGUGGAUUAAUUCGAUGCAACGCGAAAAACCUUACCUACCUCUUGACAUGUCUGGAAUCCCGAAGAGAUUUGGGAGUGCUCGCAAGAGAACCGGGAACAACAGGUGCUGCAUGGCUGUCGUCAGCUUCGUGUCGUGAGAUGUUGGGUUAAGUCCCGCAACGAGCCGCAACCCUUGUCAUUAGUUGCUACCGAAAGGGCACCUCUAAUGAGAACUGGCCGGGUGACAAACCGGUAGGAAGGUGGGGAUGACGUCAAGUCCUCAUGGCCCUUAUGGGUAGGGCUUCACACGUCAUACAAUGGUCGGGACAGAGGGUCGCCAACCCGCGAGGGGGAGCCAAUCCCAGAAACCCGAUCGUAGUCCGGAUCGCAGUCUGCAACUCGACUGCGUGAAGUCGGAAUCGCUAGUAAUCGCGGAUCAGCAUGUCGCGGUGAAUACGUUCCCGGGUCUUGUACACACCGCCCGUCACACCAUGGGAGUGGGUUUUACCAGAAGUAGUUAGCCUAACCGCAAGGGGGGCGAAUACCCACG
This 1439-nucleotide ribosomal RNA is filed under the name Bordetella bronchiseptica. RNAcentral's name for it is "bacterial SSU rRNA". It matches the Rfam family "Bacterial small subunit ribosomal RNA". Lineage: Bacteria; Pseudomonadati; Pseudomonadota; Betaproteobacteria; Burkholderiales; Alcaligenaceae. The record is from RNAcentral.